RNAcentral lists this ribosomal RNA (1245 nucleotides) under Triticum aestivum (bread wheat). RNAcentral's name for it is "partial small subunit ribosomal RNA". The record is from RNAcentral. Lineage: Eukaryota; Viridiplantae; Streptophyta; Magnoliopsida; Poales; Poaceae.
AUGAACGAGGACGGAUCCAAGGUUGAGUACUGGGUGUGGAACCCCUUCAGAUCCAAGUUGGCUGCUGUUGUACUCUGUGGUGUGGACAACAUCUGGAUUAUCAUUGCAGGUUUUGGAAGUGCUCUGAGAGGAAUACCAAAAGGAUUUUGUCCUCGUUUUUACAAUAUCCAAGCAUCAAUAUGUAAUGGACUUGUUCAUAGGAGGAAAAUUCCUCUUCCGUUGAGAUGGUCUUUUCGCUCUAUUCAAGCAAGAAAUAAUCACUCACCAUCAGCUGUUGCACCUAAAGAUUAUUGUGAAACUUACAUCCAAUUUUUGAGAGACAAACGGAUAGUUCCUGAUUCAGAUCCUCCAAGCUCUAAGGAUGUGGACCUACUGUACCGGUUUAUAGAUAAGAGUAACAAGCUCAUGGUAUUAACUGGAGCUGGAAUGAGCACCGAGUCAGGAAUUCCUGAUUAUCGGAGUCCUAAUGGAGCAUACAGUUCUGGUUUCAAACCACUCACUCAUCAGGAGUUUGUUCGCUCUAUUCGAGCCCGACGGCGCUACUGGGCUAGGAGUUAUGCUGGAUGGAGAAGGUUCAGGCGAGCACAACCAAAUACAGCUCACUAUGCUCUUGCUUCACUAGAAAGAAUCGGCCGUGUUCACACGAUGGUUACCCAGAAUGUGGAUAGAUUGCAUCAUCGUGCUGGUAGUAAGCCAAUUGAGUUGCAUGGAAGUGUAUAUGAGGUAAUUUGCUUAGAUUGUGGAACAUCCAUCAGCCGGGAGUCAUUCCAAGAACAAGUGAAGGACCUCAACCCAAAGUGGGCUCUAGCUAUUGACAGUUUGGAAGAGGGACAACCUGGCUCGAGCAGAAGUUUUGGUAUGCAGCAGCGACCUGAUGGUGAUAUUGAGAUUGAUGAGAAGUUCUGGGAGCAAGAUUUUGACAUUCCUGGUUGCAGUCAGUGUGGUGGAGUGCUAAAACCUGAUGUUGUGAUGUUUGGUGAUAAUGUUCCAAUAGAGAGAGCUGAUAGCGCUAAGGAGGCUGCAAGAAACUGUGAUGCUCUUCUGGUGGUUGGUUCAGCGGUAAUGACGAUGUCUGCUUUUAGGCUGGCAAGGCUUGCACAUGAAGCAAAUGCUCCAAUCGCCGCGAUUAACAUUGGGGGCACGAGAGCUGAUAGCAUUAUAUCUUUGAAAAUCAAUGCGAGAUGUGGGGAGAUACUUCCCAGAGUACUUCGGAUGGGAAGUCUAGCUGUACCAAGCAUAAGCUGA